GUAUGGUCCGCUUGAGCCAGUCGAACCCAACGCGGUUGGGUCAGGGAAUCCGGUGUGAACCCGGAACUGACGCGCAGCGGUGAGGAGGACAGGCGGAGCAACGGCCACUGGCCCCACGCGGGCUGGGAAGGCGCUCCGGCUGGAUGAUCCCGAGUCCGAAGACCUGCUGGCUCGGGCUCUCGUGG
This 185-nucleotide non-coding RNA is filed under the name Mycolicibacterium llatzerense. Lineage: Bacteria; Bacillati; Actinomycetota; Actinomycetes; Mycobacteriales; Mycobacteriaceae. The record is from RNAcentral.